AUUUCACUUUCCUUUUUGUGGUGUUCUUGGUCCCGAGUGCCGACUUAGUCGCCCAUCGCAAUCCCAAAUCUUGCUAUCUCGAUUUCGAAGUGGCACCGCCGUAUCCCGAAUUGGAAAUCGCCACUAAGGCCCAUAUCUCAAUUUCAAUUUAACUCAUCGAUCUUUACUAACCUUGCCCAGAUGCAACAUCGUCCUAACUCCUAAACCUCAUGCCUCGCAUCUGCCUUCGAUUUCUUGCAUCUGAUUAUUUCGUAUCCCGAUCGCAUACAUUUUAAGACUUUCAGGUUUAAGAUUUACAUAUAUCGGCUUUCUGUUGAACAUGGUUCCAACCCUCAUAAGAAGGAGAUGGAAAUAGGUACUUGGUUCAUUUUUGUUUCUGAUUUUGUCUACAGUCCUGUAUUUGUUAAUAGGUUGAAUGAAUCAAGGUCUGUGCUGCUUGGAUUUCAAGGGUUGAAGGAGGAUUUGCAAACUUGGAGGUCGAAGAACGACUCACGUUGAGGUCUGUGGCGAUCUCAUACAGGUAUGAGGAGGUGAGGUGAACAUGAGUGGCAAAAUCAAAGGCUAAGCUGCUCCAUGAAGUGAUCUUGGGGCAGGAAUACAGUCAUCUGAGGAUAUCAGGAUAUUGGCUGCAUGGAGCAACGAACAGGUCAAUGCAACUCUGAAUCAUUACAGAUAUGACUUUGGGAAUGAUAUAACAAGGAUCUUUGAGGUAUUGUAGUUGUAUAUUAUAUGCAACCCAGAUGAUGCGCAAACUGAAGACAGAGAGAGAACGGUUUCAGACCCUUACAUAAGGAGGUGUUCUUUUGGAUUUUUAAAUUUGAAUUUUUUAUUGUCGGAAAAAAAAAAACCUUGUACUGCAGAGAGAAUAGAAACCAUGCAAUAGCCAGACAUGAGGCACUUACUGGUUUAGCGGUGUCCAGAAGAAAUGUUUCACCACUGUUUGUUUCAUCAGAGCUGGAAAUUUUUUAGGGUUGAGGGUUUAGCAAUGUCUGGGGUUAGAC
Molecule: long non-coding RNA, 1001 nt
Organism: Rosa rugosa (rugosa rose)
Lineage: Eukaryota; Viridiplantae; Streptophyta; Magnoliopsida; Rosales; Rosaceae
Exons: 4
Source: RefSeq, a predicted model, not a curated record